ACGAACGCUGGCGGCGCGCCUAACACAUGCAAGUCGAACGAGAAGCUGUAGCAAUACAGUUGUACAGUGGCGAACGGGUGAGGAAUACAUGGGUGACCUACCCUCGAGUGGGGAAUAACCAGCCGAAAGGUUGGCUAAUACCGCGUACGUUUCCCAGUCCGCGGAUUGGGAAGGAAAGCGAUGCCGUGGGUAUCGCGCUCAAGGUUGGGCUCAUGUCCUAUCAGCUUGUUGGNGAGGUAACGGCUCACCAAGGCAACGACGGGUAGCUGGUCUGAGAGGACGAUCAGCCACACUGGCACUGCGACACGGGCCAGACUCCUACGGGAGGCAGCAGUGAGGAAUAUUGCGCAAUGGGCGAAAGCCUGACGCAGCGACGCCGC
Molecule: ribosomal RNA, 380 nt
Filed under: uncultured bacterium
Lineage: Bacteria
Description: bacterial SSU rRNA
Rfam family: Bacterial small subunit ribosomal RNA
Source: RNAcentral